Molecule: ribosomal RNA, 164 nt
Filed under: Nicolletia occidentalis
Lineage: Eukaryota; Viridiplantae; Streptophyta; Magnoliopsida; Asterales; Asteraceae
Description: 5.8S ribosomal RNA
Rfam family: 5.8S ribosomal RNA
About the family: 5.8S ribosomal RNA (5.8S rRNA) is a component of the large subunit of the eukaryotic ribosome. It is transcribed by RNA polymerase I as part of the 45S precursor that also contains 18S and 28S rRNA.
Source: RNAcentral
UAAACGACUCUCGGCAACGGAUAUCUCGGCUCACGCAUCGAUGAAGAACGUAGCAAAAUGCGAUACUUGGUGUGAAUUGCAGAAUCCCGUGAACCAUCGAGUUUUUGAACGCAAGUUGCGCCCGAAGCCAUCAGGUUGAGGGCACGUCUGCCUGGGCGUCACGC